UACAGAGGGGGCAAGCGUUGUUCGGAAUUACUGGGCGUAAAGGGCGCGUAGGCGGCCGGCUAAGUCGAACGUGAAAUCCCCGGGCUCAACCCGGGAACUGCGUCCGAUACUGGCAGGCUUGAAUCCGGGAGAGGGAUGCGGAAUUCCAGGUGUAGCGGUGAAAUGCGUAGAUAUCUGGAGGAAUACCGGUGGCGAAGGCGGCAUCCUGGACCGACAUUGACGCUGAGGAGCGAAAGCUAGGGGAGCAAACGGG
Molecule: ribosomal RNA, 253 nt
Filed under: uncultured bacterium
Lineage: Bacteria
Description: partial 16S ribosomal RNA
Rfam family: Bacterial small subunit ribosomal RNA
Source: RNAcentral